Molecule: ribosomal RNA, 253 nt
Filed under: uncultured microorganism
Description: partial 16S ribosomal RNA
Rfam family: Bacterial small subunit ribosomal RNA
Source: RNAcentral
UACGGAGGGGGCAAGCGUUGUUCGGAGUUACUGGGCGUAAAGCGCGCGUAGGUGGCUUGAUAAGCCGGUUGUGAAAGCCCACGGCUCAACCGGGGAGGGUCAUUGGAAACUGGGGAACUUGAGUGCAGAAGAGGAUAGUGGAAUUCCAAGUGUAGCGGUGAAAUGCGUAGAGAUUUGGAGGAACACCAGUGGCGAAGGCGACUGUCUGGUCUGUAACUGACACUGAGGCUCGAAAGCGUGGGUAGCAAACAGG